CCUCGAGCCCGGGGCCCCGCACGCCGUGCGGGGAGAUGUGCCCGGAGGAGGGCGGCGCGGCCGGGCUGGGCGAGCUCCGCUCCUGGUGGGAAGUGCCGGCCAUCGCGCACUUCUGCUCUCUCUUUCGCACCGCGUUCCGCCUGCCCGACUUUGAGAUCGAGGAGUUAGAAGCUGCUCUUCACCGAGAUGACGUGGAGUUUAUCAGUGACCUGAUUGCCUGCCUGCUUCAGGGCUGCUAUCAACGAAGGGAUAUCACGCCUCAGACUUUCCACAGCUACUUGGAGGACAUCAUCAACUACCGCUGGGAGCUGGAAGAAGGCAAGCCCAACCCUCUGAGAGAAGCCAGCUUCCAGGACCUGCCUCUGCGGACCCGCGUGGAGAUCCUGCACCGCCUCUGUGACUACCGGCUCGAUGCAGACGAUGUCUUUGAUCUUCUCAAGGGUCUGGAUGCAGACAGUCUCCGCGUGGAGCCACUGGGGGAGGACAAUUCUGGGGCACUCUAUUGGUAUUUUUAUGGAACACGAAUGUACAAAGAGGACCCGGUACAAGCAAAAUCCAAUGGAGAACUGUCUUUGAGCAGGGAAAGUGAAGGACAAAAAAAAGUAUCGAGUGUUCCUGGAAAAACAGGAAAAAGAAGAGGAAGACCCCCAAAACGGAGGAAACUACAGGAGGAGAUCAUGGUGAGUGAAAAGCAGGAAGAAAACUCCUUGGCAUCUGAGCCACAGACAAGAAAUGGAUCUCAAGGGCCAGGCCAAGGCACUUGGUGGCUCCUUUGCCAAACAGAAGAAGAAUGGAGGCAGGUCACUGAGAGUUUUCGAGAGAGGACCUCCCUUCGAGAACGGCAGCUCUACAAGCUGCUCAGUGAGGACUUCCUGCCUGAGAUCUGCAACAUGAUUGCCCAGAAGGAAACUCCUAUGCUUACCAGAGUUGAAAAACAGAAGCGCAAGGAGGAGGAGGAAGAACGUCAGAUUCUUCUAGCAGUGCAGAAGAAGGAGCAGGAGCAGAUGCUAAAGGAGGAGAGGAAACGGGAGCUGGAAGAGAAGGUCAAGGCAGUGGAAGAUCGAGCUAAGAGGAGAAAGCUCAGGGAAGAGAGGGCAUGGCUGCUGGCUCAAGGGAAGGAGCUCCCCCCAGAACUUUCCCACCUGGACCCCAAUUCUCCCAUGAGAGAAGAAAAAAAAACUAAGGACCUCUUUGAGUUGGACGAUGAUUUCACUGCCAUGUAUAAAGUUCUAGAUGUGGUAAAGGCUCACAAGGAUUCCUGGCCCUUUUUGGAACCUGUGGAUGAAUCUUAUGCCCCUAACUAUUAUCAGAUUAUUAAGGUCCCCAUGGAUAUUUCAAGCAUGGAGAAGAAACUGAAUGGAGGUUUAUACUGUACCAAGGAGGAAUUCGUAAAUGACAUGAAGACUAUGUUUAGGAAUUGUCGAAAAUAUAAUGGGGAAAGUAGCGAGUAUACCAAGAUGUCUGAUAAUUUAGAGAGGUGUUUCCAUCGGGCCAUGAUGAAACAUUUUCCUGGUGAAGAUGGAGACACAGAUGAAGAAUUUUGGAUCAGAGAGGAUGAAAAACGGGAGAAGAGACGGAGUCGGGCCGGGCGAAGUGGCGGAAGUCAUGUUUGGACCCGCUCCAGGGACUCCGAAGGGCCCAGCAGGAAACAGCAGCCCGUGGAGAACGGAGGGAAGUCACUGCCCCCUGCACGCCGAGCGUCCGCUUCCGGGGAUGACCAGGGCAGCCAUUCUGCACAGCCCCUCUGGGAGGGGGGCACUUCGAAUGGCAGAGGCUUCUCCCGUGCCCUGCAUUGUGGCGGGAUGCCCAGCCAGAAGCCAGCAGUGCCUGGAACAUUUGGCCCUCUUCGAGGAUCAGACCCUGCCAGCUACUGUGGCUCCUCUCGAGUCCCAGAGCCACAGCCCGGAGAGCCUGCCCAGCAUCAUCAGCCUUUUGCCAUGCAGCCCCCAGUUGGAAUUAACCACCACCGAGGCCCCAGACUAGGCCCACCUGAAGAGAAGCAGACACGUGGGGGGCUGCCGCACCUUCCCAGCAUGGGGUCACAUCCCGGAUCCUUGCCGCUGCGGCAGAUGAGUGGCCCCGGUCAGGAUGGAAACAUGUAUCCACCAGCUCAAUUCCAGCCAGGAUUUAUUCCUCCCAGGCAUAGUGGGGCUCCAGCCCGACCCUCAGACUUUCCCGACAGCUCAGAAAUUCCUCCUAGCCACAUGUAUCGAUCCUACAAGUACCUGAAUCGAGCACACUCUGCUGUCUGGAAUGGGAACCACAGUGCAACAAACACAGGACCCUUGGUGUCAGAUGACAAGCCCCACCUAGGGCUAGGACCCUCUCACCAGCCUCAUGCUCUUGGUCACAUGAUGGAUUCCCGUGUAAUGAGACCACCUAUCCCCCCAAACCAGUGGACCGAGCAGUCAAGCUUUCUACCUCAUGGAGUUCCCUCUCCAGGGUACAUGCGAGCGCCCUGUAAGUCUGCUGGACAUCGGUUACAGCCACCUCCAGCCCCAGCGCCAAGCUCUCUGUUUGGAGUGCCCUCCCAGGCUCUGCGGGGCGUGCCAGGAGGGGACUCCAUGAUGGACAGCCCAGAGAUGAUCGCCAUGCAGCAGCUGUCCUCCCGCGUGUGCCGACCAGCAGAGCCUUUGCCUGGGCUUGACGAGAACCCAGCAAGUGUUGGUGCUUCAGAGGGGGCAUACCUCAAACAACUACCUCACCCUACUCCUCCCCUGCAGGACGACUGCUCCAGGCAGAGCUCGCCACGAGAAAGGGAAACCGAGGGCCCGGAGCUCAAAAGCAACUCCGCAGAAUCUGCAGACAACUGUAAAGCAACAAAGGGCAAAAAUACCUGGUCCUCAGAUAGCAGCUACACCAGCCCAGCUACCCAGGGGGCGUGUAUGAGAAACCUCUCUGCUGUGGCAGACAGGGGGGCUCUGUCCGAAAAUGGAGUCAUUGGUGAAGCAUCUCCUUGUGGAUCAGAGGGAAAAGGCUUUGGUGGCAGUGGUUCUGAAAAGCCACUCUGCCCCAGAGGCAAAGCAUUGCAGGAAGCCAUGCUGUGUACAGGACAGAAUGCAACCACAUCUCCCAGCACAGACCCUGGUUUGAUGGGGGGCACUGUAAGCCAGUUUUCUCCCUUGUACAUGCCUGGUCUGGAAUACCCAAAUGCAGCGACGCAUUACCACGUCAGUCCAGGCCUGCAAGGUUUGGGCCCUGUGAUGGGGGGCAGAUCCUCCUCAGCGUCACAUCCUCAGCAUUUCCCCCCGAGAGGCUUUCCAUCCGGCAGUCCUCAUCCUGGAGUCUUUCCCCGGUGUCGCCCUCAGCAAGGGAUGAGGUAUUCCUACCAGCCCUCACCUCCGCCUUCCUACCACCACUACCAGCGACCUCCUUACUAUACGUGUCCACAGGGCUUUCCCGAAUGGCAGAGACCCCUCCAUCCCCAGGGAAGCCCAAGUGAGCCCCCAGCUAGUCAGCCCCCCCCACCGAGGUCCCUCUUCUCAGAUAAGAAUGCCAUGGCUAAUCUACAGGGCUGCGAGACACUGAAUGCUGCCUUAAUGUCCCCAGCCCAAAUGGAUGCAGUGGCCACUAAAGUUGUCCCAGCUGAUGGGCAGAAUCCCAGUCCAGAGGAGGAGAAGCUGGAUGAGUCUAUGGAGAGACCAGAGAGUCCCAAAGAAUUUUUAGACCUGGACAACCAUAAUGCAGCCACCAAGCGACAGAGUUCGUUGUCGACCAGUGAAUACCUUUAUGGAACUCCUCCUCCACCUCUGAGUUCAGGGAUGGGUUUUGGAUCAUCUGCCUUCCCACCCCACGGUGUGGUGCUACACGCGGGGCCUCCUUACACCCCUCAGCAGCCAGCCGGCCACUUCCAGCCCAGGGCCUACUCAUCCCCUGGGGCCGUGCCCCCGCCUCUCCAUCCAGUGGCUGCCCAACCCAAUGGCCUCUCUCAGGAGGGCCCCAUCUAUCGCUGCCAGGAAGAGGGCCUGGGUCACUUUCAGGCUGUCAUGAUGGAACAAAUUGGCACUGGAAGUGGAUUAAGGGGGCCUUUCCAGGAAACAUAUAGACCGUCAGGAAUGCAAAUGCAUCCAGUCCCGGCGCAGUCCUUGUUCCCAAAGACGCCGGCACCAGCAUCACCGCAGGGAGAGCUGCCACCACGUAAGCCCCCAGCACUUCCUCUGGAUCAGAGCUAGUCCAAGGAAGAAAUAACUCCCAAGGAAAUAGAAAGCUGCACAUGAAGACUGGAACAUGGAGAAUUUGGGGGCGUGACCCUUGCUUUCUCUAUUCCUGUCACCCUGCUCCACCCCUAACAGUGCAUCACUUCCGUUCAGGAGCUGGAGCACUCCCUGGAAGCACCUCUACUCCUUAGAUGACUGGCACACACUCGCAAAUGUCCUGGGUCGGGGAUCCCUUGCAUAACGGAGGUAGACGGUCAAGAAGAACAGAUGAAACUGGAGUUCACGACGACCUUUCCAAAUCCUGAGACUCUUGUUCAGGGAAAAUCACUUUAAACUUGGGGCAGGGGACAUACUUAAAAAUGGAGUGGUGCUUUUAAAAAGUUUCAUGAGCAGCUAAACUCAGGCCUGUCAGGACUGUGAUCUAGAAGGCAUGACACAGCUUUCUGGCAUGAAUCACAUUUUGUGGAAGUGACUACUCAGGUUUGUAUGUGUUAGUAUCAGUAAAGAAAUUGCACAGAUUGGAAUAGGAAAAAUGUAUUCUAUAGAUUUACAGUUUGAAUUUAGGAAUAUUUCAUUCUAUAUAGUUUUACUCAUUUUAAGUGAAUCUUAGUAAAAUCAUUUAUGGUGAUUUAAAAUAGCAAGAACAAGUUCUUGGAAAUCAUUUGUUGUAUCUGUAAUAGAAAACAGUUUUCCAGUAUUAAAUUACUUUAUUAUAGUUCUAGAAGUGAAUUACACUGGAUUCUCCCUGUUUAGCAUUCUGUAUUUGACUUUAGCUGAGAUGUCACCAAAGUUAGGACCCAUGUUUUAAACUUUUGAAUAUCCCACAAAGAAAAAAAAAUUACAGAAAAUGUCCUGAAAUUACAGGUCUUUGUAAAGAAUAGCAUAUUUUUAAGUAUGCUUUUGGGAUAGUAGAAAAGCCUUCAUAUAAGAUUAUUCUGCCCUCGUUUCUUAUAAAUUCAGCUGUGAGAGGGGCUAGUAGAACCGUUACCUCCAAUUCCAGCAUCUUUAAUGAAAUGAGGAACUGUCACGUUUAUGGUUUGCUAAACAUAUAUCAGUGGGAAAGGAAACAAAUUGGAAAUAUCCACUUUAUAGAGAUGGAGCCCCAGACAUCAGCUCUAGGUUAAUGAAAUUCACACCUGUGAGCAGAUACUUAUUAACCUGGUGCAGUUGCUUGGGGCUUGGGCAGAGUUGAGAAUUGGGUAGGAAACACAGAUGCUUCUGAGGUAUGAUACACAAAAAUAUAAAUUUUUCUCUAACAGAGAAUUUAGUUUUAAAUUUGAUGUAUUUGUAAGUGGAUUGAGUUUUGAGGCUGUGUUCUCAUUUGAUCCUAAUUCUCCUUAGAAAUCUACCAGUGGCAUAAUCUGGUUUAGAGGAGUGACGAGGUCACGAGACUUGUGGAUAGGUCUCUGAGUGUGCCCUCAAGCUAGCAUAAGCUAGCACAAUCAGAGCAUUACUAUUUCAGUUUCUUUGUUUGUGCAAAAGCAAGGAGAAGGAAAAAACCAGCUAGUUUGGGGUCGGCUAGACCUGGUCUCAGCCCAGAGCAUUUGGCUACUGACAAGUCUUUCUCUUUUCACGCUGAAGCUGGUUUGAAUGAGACGCCUGUAGCUUCUCCUUAAAUAGGAUUGCAGCAACCAUCGGGCCUCCUCCCCGGGUGCUGAAACUGCAGUGGUAGCUUUGUGCUGCGGAACCGGGAUCGUGGCAGGGUGGGCUGCAAGUGGUGGCUGGGCUGGCUGUGCCCUCCCCUGUGCCCUUGCGGCACUGGAGCAGCUGUGUGCACGCUGCUCAACGUAACUCUCUGCACUCUCCCAGCCCCCACCCCCAAUUACCUGUUGCUAGAGAGGGGCUGUGAACAAUUUAGGAAAAAAUCUGUAAAUUCCUUCAUCCUUAAUCUCCUUUCUUGGUUUGUAGACAGAUGAGAAAAUAUUAAAGAAGAACAAUAGGAAAUUACUACUGUAUUAAAUCAUGACACUGAAUAAGAGCAACAGCAAAACUGUCAGCUUCAUGCAUCCUACGUGGGAAUUGGGUUGUGCGUGACAGGUGCUAGUGCUUCCUGUCCAGCAUGUCCUGAGCUCUUUCAGGACUUUGAAGUGCAGAUCUGCUCUAAGUUGUCAGGAGCUGCAAGACUGCAGGACACACAAGACUGAGCUGCUGUGACCCCUGAUCCACUCACCCCCGAGCAGGGUCUCUUUCCUCACCUUUCUUCUCCUCUAGCACUUCUCUUUCCAAGUGUCUUAAGCAGAUGUGAUGUCUUAAAGCAGAUGUACGUGCAUCUGCCAUCUUCUUCAUUAGGGAAAUGGUGGUUAUGUGAUAUGAUUAGAAAGUAGUGUGUAAGGGUGUCCUAAGAAGUUUUGCUCUCAGGCUAGGACAUUUCACCCUGUAGGUCCCUGUCACCUUGUCAGUGGCUGGCUCUCAGUGGUCCCCAGAAGUGGGUAGCUGAGAUCCAUGGAUAAUUGGAAAUACUAUCACACCUAUUUAAUAUUCAUGGCUAACCUUUAUUAGAGUUGUUACUAAGUUACAAACUGCUUCCCCAAGGCCCAGGAGAAAUAAGAGAUCCAGAAAGAACAGGAGAGCCUUUUGGAAGGUUUCUCUCCACCCCCACCCCCACCCCCAGUCCAAGUCCAUUUGUUUAAAAAGUAGCAGGAGGCUGGUGGGUUAGCUCACUUGGUUAGAGCUGGUGUUGUAACAUCAAGGUCAAGGGUUCAGAUCCCCUUACCAGCCAGCCACGAAAUAAGUAAAAAGUAGCAGGAGCCAUUGGCUAAAAUUUGUUAAUGGGGGGUGAAUGUGGAAAAUAAAGACAAAAUAUGCAGGAUUCUUAUUUAUAACUUUCCAUCCCACCUCUUAAAAGUAAAGCUGCCCCAUCUCUCCAUUAUCAGGUUUCUUUCAUUCUUCUGGCAGAGCGUGGGAGCUUGUUAGUAACAAUUAUUUUAUCUUCACUGAGCCUAGGUUGGACUGCUCUCAAAAAGCAGUCUUUUCCUGCUCUUUAUUUUUAUGUUUAUUGGAAACCUUAAGACCUAUAGUUUGUGCCCCUCAGUUCCAUCAAACUUCAGCAUUAAAUGUCAGUUUUCUCUAGACUCCCCUUGUAGUGCAUCUCGUGAAACCAUGUGGUGUCAUCACCCCCUGGCAUCUACCUGCUGUGUUACUGUCGUUUAUGCUAAUUCCUACAGGCAUCAGAGGGUCUGCUAAAUGCUGUCCCAAACACUAAGUCCCAGUGUUGCAGUCACCACAGCUGCCAGGAACAAGCUUUCCAUCUGUACCACUUGGUUUGACAUUUUUUUUCCUUUUUUGUUAAUGGAAGUUCAAAUCUAUAAAUAAUAUACUGCUAUUAAAACCUACUUUGAAAAUUCA
Molecule: RNA transcript, 7502 nt
Organism: Cynocephalus volans (Philippine flying lemur)
Lineage: Eukaryota; Metazoa; Chordata; Mammalia; Dermoptera; Cynocephalidae
Gene name: chromatin remodeling regulator CECR2
Exons: 19
Source: RefSeq, a predicted model, not a curated record